RNAcentral lists this ribosomal RNA (219 nucleotides) under uncultured bacterium. Its description in RNAcentral is "partial 16S ribosomal RNA". It matches the Rfam family "Bacterial small subunit ribosomal RNA", at positions 15 to 213 of the family's 1533-position model. The record is from RNAcentral.
GAUCCUGGCUCAGGAUGAACGCUGGCGGCGUGCCUAACACAUGCAAGUCGAACGAAGAUGCGUGUCAGAUCCCUUCGGGGUGACGAUGCGUAGACUUAGUGGCGGACGGGUGAGUAAUGUAUGAGCAACCUGCCUUCAAGAGGGGAAUAACAGUCGGAAACGACUGCUAAUACCGCAUAACAAAGCGUGAUCGCAUGAUCGUGUUUUCAAAGGAGCAAU